RNAcentral lists this ribosomal RNA (534 nucleotides) under Streptococcus sp. M62. RNAcentral describes it as "bacterial SSU rRNA". It matches the Rfam family "Bacterial small subunit ribosomal RNA", at positions 8 to 521 of the family's 1533-position model. Lineage: Bacteria; Bacillati; Bacillota; Bacilli; Lactobacillales; Streptococcaceae. The record is from RNAcentral.
AGAGUUUGAUCCUGGCUCAGGAUGAACGCUGGCGGCAUGCCUAAUACAUGCAAGUCGAACGGACGGAAGAGAAAAGCUUGCUUUUUUUGGAAGUCAGUGGCGAACGGGUGAGUAACACGUAGGUAACCUGCCCAUGUGCCCGGGAUAAUUUCUGGAAACGGAAACUAAAACCGGAUAGGUAGGGAUCUCGCAUGAGGACCUUAUUAAAGGGGCUACGGCCCUGAACAUGGAUGGACCUGCGGUGCAUUAGCUAGUUGGUGGGGUAACGGCCUACCAAGGCGACGAUGCAUAGCCGACCUGAGAGGGCGAACGGCCACAUUGGGACUGAGACACGGCCCAAACUCCUACGGGAGGCAGCAGUAGGGAAUUUUCGUCAAUGGGGGGAACCCUGAACGAGCAAUGCCGCGUGAGUGAAGACGGUUUUCGGACUGUAAAGCUCUGUUGUAAGAGAAAAACGGCCGACAUAGGGAAUGAUGUCGGAGUGAUGGUAUCUUACCAGAAAGUCACGGCUAACUACGUGCCAGCAGCCGCGGU